RNAcentral lists this ribosomal RNA (554 nucleotides) under uncultured bacterium. RNAcentral's name for it is "partial 16S ribosomal RNA". It matches the Rfam family "Bacterial small subunit ribosomal RNA", at positions 355 to 900 of the family's 1533-position model. The record is from RNAcentral.
UAGGGAAUCUUCCACAAUGGACGCAAGUCUGAUGGAGCAACGCCGCGUGAGUGAAGAAGGUUUUCGGACCGUAAAGCUCUGUUGUUGGUGAAGAAGGAUAGAGGUAGUAACUGGCCUUUAUUUGACGGUAAUCAACCAGAAAGUCACGGCUAACUACGUGCCAGCAGCCGCGGUAAUACGUAGGUGGCAAGCGUUGUCCGGAUUUAUUGGGCGUAAAGCGAGCGCAGGCGGAAGAAUAAGUCUGAUGUGAAAGCCCUCGGCUUAACCGAGGAAUUGCAUCGGAAACUGUUUUCUUGAGUGCAGAAGAGGAGAGUAGAACUCCAUGUGUAGCGGUGGAGUGCGUAGAUAUAUGGAAGAAUACCAGUGGCGAAGGCGGCUCUCUGGUCUGCAACUGACGCUGAGGCUCGAAAGCAUGGGUAGCGAACAGGAUUAGAUACCCUGGUAGUCCAUGCCGUAAACGAUGAGUGCUAAGUGUUGGGAGGCUUCCGCCUCUCAGUGCUGCAGCUAACGCAUUAAGCACUCCGCCUGGGGGAGUACGACCGCAAGGUUGAAAC